RNAcentral lists this transfer RNA (87 nucleotides) under Spirochaetales bacterium. Its description in RNAcentral is "tRNA-Ser". It matches the Rfam family "tRNA". Rfam says of the family: Transfer RNA (tRNA) molecules are approximately 80 nucleotides in length. Their secondary structure includes four short double-helical elements and three loops (D, anti-codon, and T loops). The record is from RNAcentral. Lineage: Bacteria; Pseudomonadati; Spirochaetota; Spirochaetia; Spirochaetales.
GGAGAGAUGCGAGAGCGGUUGAAUCGGGCGGUCUCGAAAACCGUUGUCCGGCUUGCCGGACCGAGGGUUCGAAUCCAUCUCUCUCCG